Molecule: transfer-messenger RNA, 361 nt
Filed under: Pseudomonadales bacterium
Lineage: Bacteria; Pseudomonadati; Pseudomonadota; Gammaproteobacteria; Pseudomonadales
Also listed under: 1 other name
Rfam family: transfer-messenger RNA
About the family: Bacterial tmRNA, also known as 10Sa RNA or SsrA, is named for its dual tRNA and mRNA-like properties. Its role is to liberate the mRNA from a stalled ribosome.
Source: RNAcentral
GGGGGCGCUCUGGAUUCGACGCCGGUAUCAAACCCUGAGGUGCAUGUCGAGAGGGUAUAGACUCUCGUAAAUCAAUCUAUGCAACUUAAUAGUUGCCAACGACGAUAGCUACGCUCUCGCUGCCUAAUUAGGCGCAGCGAGCGGUCGCCCCGGGAUGCCUGUAAACCGGUUUUCGCGACUGUCAUAUAGAACAGGAUCGCUAGCCUAGCGCGCCCAGCGUGAAGCGGCUAAAAGUACUGGGCUCGCCCAAACCACCCUGCCCGUCGGGCCGGUAAGGGUUAACUCAAUAGACGACGCUAAACAUGUAGAGCCAAAGGCAGCGGACUGACGGACGGGGGUUCAAAUCCCCCCGCCUCCACCA